Molecule: long non-coding RNA, 282 nt
Organism: Ostrinia furnacalis (Asian corn borer)
Lineage: Eukaryota; Metazoa; Arthropoda; Insecta; Lepidoptera; Crambidae
Exons: 3
Source: RefSeq, a predicted model, not a curated record
CGCGAAGCAUCAACGCGAUCAUUGCACGUUAGCGCGCGCCGCGUGUUCGUUACUCGCGCACGCGUGUAGAGACGAAUGCGCGUUGUACUCGCAUCUGUUUGCGAAAGUGUCGCCAGAACUCGAGGAAUACCUGCAGUCGCUUUGCAACGGUCUUUACGAGACGCUGCGGCCGCACAUCAUCCACAUCGUCCACCUGGAGACCCUGGCCGAGCUGUGUGUCAUCCUGCGCGUCGAGAUCAUCGAGGAGCAGGUCAAUAACGACCCGAGCCUGAGCGCGCUAGG